Molecule: ribosomal RNA, 619 nt
Filed under: uncultured bacterium
Lineage: Bacteria
Description: bacterial SSU rRNA
Rfam family: Bacterial small subunit ribosomal RNA
Source: RNAcentral
AGAGUUUGAUCAUGGCUCAGAUUGAACGCUGGCGGCAUGCCUUACACAUGCAAGUCGAACGGCAGCACGGGAGCAAUCCUGGUGGCGAGUGGCGAACGGGUGAGUGAUAUAUCGGAACGUGCCCAGUAGUGGGGGAUAGCCCGGCGAAAGCCGGAUUAAUACUGCAUACGACCUGUGGGUGAAAGCGGGGGAUCGCAAGACCUCGCGCUAUUGGAGCGGCCGAUAUCAGAUUAGCUUGUUGGUGGGGUAAAAGCCCACCAAGGCGACGAUCUGUAGCUGGUCUGAGAGGACGACCAGCCACACUGGGACUGAGACACGGCCCAGACUCCUACGGGAGGCAGCAGUGGGGAAUUUUGGACAAUGGGCGCAAGCCUGAUCCAGCCAUGCCGCGUGUGGGAAGAAGGCCUUCGGGUUGUAAACCACUUUUGUCAGGGAAGAAACGGUUUGACUUAAUACGUUGAACUAAUGACGGUACCUGAAGAAUAAGCACCGGCUAACUACGUGCCAGCAGCCGCGGUAAUACGUAGGGUGCAAGCGUUAAUCGGAAUUACUGGGCGUAAAGCGUGCGCAGGCGGCUUUGCAAGACAGAUGUGAAAUCCCCGGGCUCAACCUGGGAACU